This 253-nucleotide ribosomal RNA is filed under the name uncultured bacterium. Its description in RNAcentral is "partial 16S ribosomal RNA". It matches the Rfam family "Bacterial small subunit ribosomal RNA", at positions 524 to 776 of the family's 1533-position model. The record is from RNAcentral.
UACGGAGGGCUCAAGCGUUGUUCGGAUUCAUUGGGCGUAAAGGGUGCGUAGGUGGCGGGUUAAGUCAGGGGUGAAAUCUCGGAGCUCAACUCCGAAACUGCACUUGAUACUGCCUUGCUUGAGUACUGGAGAGGAGAUUGGAAUUUACGGUGUAGCAGUGAAAUGCGUAGAUAUCGUAAGGAAGACCAGUGGCGAAGGCGAAUCUCUGGACAGUUACUGACGCUGAGGCACGAAGGCCAGGGGAGCAAACGGG